UACGUAGGGUGCGAGCGUUAAUCGGAAUUACUGGGCGUAAGGGGUGCGCAGGCGGAUAUAUAAGUUAGAUGUGAAAUCCCCGAGCUUAACUUGGGAAUGGCAUUUAAGACUGUAUAUCUAGAGUUUGUCAGAGGGGGGUAGAAUUCCAAGUGUAGCAGUGAAAUGCGUAGAGAUUUGGAGGAAUACCGGUGGCGAAGGCAGCCCCCUGGGUCGAUACUGACGCUCAUGCACGAAAGCGUGGGGAGCAAACAGG
This 253-nucleotide ribosomal RNA is filed under the name uncultured bacterium. RNAcentral describes it as "partial 16S ribosomal RNA". It matches the Rfam family "Bacterial small subunit ribosomal RNA", at positions 524 to 776 of the family's 1533-position model. The record is from RNAcentral.